AUAUUAGGGUGUGUUUGUAUGUGUGAAUUGUGGGUGAUUAUUCUGUGUAUAGCCUUGUGCCUUACCAGACUGUUUAUUUGUCGAGUGUUCGUUUUUUGUGUUUUGUAUGUUCGGUUUUGAAGAUAAUUAAAAAUCAAGAUGAGCAUUCACGUACCUGCUGCGUUUUGGUCCUCAUUCACCGACAACAACCUUGACAGAUUGUCUCAUCAUUACUUGUUUUUGUAACCCAUCCAUACCCCACAAGACAUGCCACCAGAGGUCUGUUUAAACUGACUGGCCCACAGCUCAGACACCCAUACAUACCCCACAAGACAUGCCACCAGAGGUCUGUUUAAACUACUGGCACACAGCUCAGACACCCAUCCAUACCCCACAAGACAUGCCACCAGAGGUCUCUUCACAGUCCCCAAGUCCAGAACAGACUAUGGGAGGAGCACAGUACUACAUAGAGCCAUGACUACAUGGAACUCUAUUCCACAUCAGGUAACUGAUGCAAGAAGUAGAAUGAGAUUUAAACAACAGAUUAAAAAUACACCUUAUGGAGCAGCAGGGACUGUGAAGAGACACACACAGGUAAACAUUUACACCUGAUAAAACAAGCACUCUACAAACACGUACACAUGGAUGCUGUAUUGUAGAUAUGUGGCCUGAGGUAACACACUAAAUGUAUUGUAGAUAUGUGGCCUGAGGUAACACACUAAAUGUAUUGUAGAUAUGUGGCCUGAGGUAAAACACUAAAUGUAUUGUAGAUAUGUGGCCUGAGGUAACACACUAAAUGUAUUGUAGUUAUGAGGCCUGAGGUAAAACACUAAAUGUAUUGUAGAUAUGUGGCCUGAGGUAAUACACUAAAUGUAUUGUAGUUAUGAGGCCUGAGGUAAAACACUAAAUGUAUUGUAGUUAUGUGGCCUGAGGUAACCCACUAAAUGUAUUGUAGUUAUGAGGCCUGAGGUAAAACACUAAAUGUAUUGUAGAUAUGUGGCCUGAGGUAAUACACUAAAUGUAUUGUAGUUAUGAGGCCUGAGGUAAAACACUAAAUGUAUUGUAGUUAUGUGGCCUGAGGUAACCCACUAAAUGUAUUGUAGAUAUGUGGCCUGAGGUAAAACACUAAAUGUAUUGUAGAUAUGUGGCCUGAGGUAACACACUAAAUGUGUUGUAGUUAUGAGGCCUGAGGUAACACACUAAAUGUAUUGUAGAUAUGAGGUAGUAGUGGUCUAAGGUAACACACUAAAUGUAUUGUAGUUAUGUGGUAGUAGUGGUCUGAGGUAACACACUAAAUGUAUUGUAGUUAUGUGGCCUGAGGUAACACACUAAAUGUAUUGUAGAUAUGAGGCCUGAGGUAACACACUAAAUGUAUUGUAGAUAUGUGGUAGUAGUGGUCUGAGGUAACACACUAAAUGUAUUGUGAAAAGUGUUAUGAAAUGUUAUUGUCAUGUAAUAUUUUAAAUUGUAUAUAACUUCCCUAAUGUUGCUGGACCCCAGGAAGAGUAGCUGCUGCAUUGGCAGGAACUAAUGGGGAUCCAUAAUAAACCCCAGGAAGAGUAGCUGCUGCCUUGGCAGGAACUAAUGGGGAUCCAUAAUAAACCC
Molecule: long non-coding RNA, 1584 nt
Filed under: Salmo salar (Atlantic salmon)
Lineage: Eukaryota; Metazoa; Chordata; Actinopteri; Salmoniformes; Salmonidae
Description: lncRNA (ENSSSAG00000090828.1)
Source: RNAcentral